CUGGCUCAGGAUGAACGCUAGCGAUAGGCCUAACACAUGCAAGUCGAGGGGCAGCAUAGAGUAGCAAUACUUGAUGGCGACCGGCGCACGGGUGAGUAACACGUAUGCAACCUACCUACAUCAGGGGAAUAACCCGGAGAAAUUCGGACUAAUACCGCAUAAUACAGGGAUGCCGCAUGGCAAUAUUUGUUAAAGAUUUAUCGGAUGUAGAUGGGCAUGCGUUCCAUUAGCUGGUUGGUAAGGUAACGGCUUACCAAGGCAACGAUGGAUAGGGGAACUGAGAGGUUUGUCCCCCACACUGGAACUGAGACACGGACCAGACUCCUACGGGAGGCAGCAGUGAGGAAUAUUGGUCAAUGGACGAGAGUCUGAACCAGCCAAAUCGCGUGAAAAGGAAGACUGCCCUACGGGUUGUAAACUUCUUUUGUACAGGAAUAAAAGACAUUACGUGUAAUGUAUUGCAUGUACUGUACGAAUAAGCAUCGGCUAACUCCGUGCCAGCCGCCGC
RNAcentral lists this ribosomal RNA (508 nucleotides) under uncultured bacterium. Its description in RNAcentral is "bacterial SSU rRNA". It matches the Rfam family "Bacterial small subunit ribosomal RNA", at positions 19 to 518 of the family's 1533-position model. The record is from RNAcentral.